ACAAUCAAGUUCGGUUGUCGCUGGAGAUCAAGGCUCCGCUAUAAGAUCUUUGCUGGAGAUGGAGAUGGAGAUUGAGGUUGAUCUUCUGCAUGGUCCAGCAAAGGUCAAGCAUUUUUUUCCAAUUUAUGAAUGGAGAGUCAUACUGCAUGGAAACAGGACCCAAUUUGCCCAAGACACCGAAGGGUCUCAACCCGAAAGGUCACCCAUUCUUUCUCUCUGGAGAUGCUGCCUGUCCCGCUGAGUUACUCCAGCAUUUUGUGUUUACCCCAUCUACACUAAUCCCGCCUGCCCACACUUGACCCUGAUGAGAGAGACGUUGGUUCGCGGGAACUGCUGCAGUACAUCGAGUACGCGGGCCGACUGGACUUUGAAUAUAGACACAAAAUAUAAUGGUGCCAAUCAUGACGGCAUCUGCAUGUGUAAUAUAUGCAAAAAUAAAUUAACUUUGCAGUUGCAUAUGAGACAAAUAAAGCACUAUUGAACCAUU
This is a long non-coding RNA of Leucoraja erinaceus (little skate), 487 nucleotides long. RefSeq lists it as uncharacterized. The record is from RefSeq and is a predicted model, not a curated record. Lineage: Eukaryota; Metazoa; Chordata; Chondrichthyes; Rajiformes; Rajidae. The transcript is spliced from 2 exons.